This 102-nucleotide non-coding RNA is filed under the name Caldanaerobacter subterraneus subsp. tengcongensis. RNAcentral describes it as "Thermoanaerobacter tengcongensis FMN sequence". It matches the Rfam family "FMN riboswitch aptamer (RFN element)", at positions 10 to 129 of the family's 138-position model. From Rfam's summary of the family: The RFN element is a highly conserved domain that is found frequently in the 5'-untranslated regions of prokaryotic mRNAs that encode for flavin mononucleotide (FMN) biosynthesis and transport proteins. Lineage: Bacteria; Bacillati; Bacillota; Clostridia; Thermoanaerobacterales; Thermoanaerobacteraceae. The record is from RNAcentral. RNAcentral also lists the same sequence under 1 other name.
CGGGGCAGGGUGGAAUUCCCGACCGGCAGUGAAAGCCUGCGAGCCGCAUAUGCGGUUGACUCGGUGAAAUUCCGAGGCCGACGGUAAAAGUCCGGAUGGGAG